Molecule: ribosomal RNA, 298 nt
Filed under: uncultured eukaryote
Lineage: Eukaryota
Description: partial 18S ribosomal RNA
Rfam family: Eukaryotic small subunit ribosomal RNA
Source: RNAcentral
CCCUUAGACACUCUAGGCGGCACGCGCGCUACAAUGGGUGGAAGAACGUGUUACUGCCUCCGAAAGGAGGGGUGAAUUACGAAUUCUUGCCCGUGAAUGGGAUAGUUUGUUGCAAUUUUCGGACUUGAACUAGGAAUCCCUUGUAAACAUGCUCAAGAAUAGCGUGUUGAAUACGUCCCUGCCGUUUGUACACACCGCCCGUCGUUUCUUCCGACUGAUACUCAUUGUGAGUUGCAAGGACCCUUUAUUGGGAAAUUGCUGCAAAUGCUUUGUAUUGGAGGAAGAAAAAGUCGUAACA